This 23-nucleotide non-coding RNA is filed under the name Arabidopsis thaliana (thale cress). The record is from RNAcentral. Lineage: Eukaryota; Viridiplantae; Streptophyta; Magnoliopsida; Brassicales; Brassicaceae.
AACGAUUCGUAUCUUGUUGAUGC